RNAcentral lists this ribosomal RNA (305 nucleotides) under uncultured bacterium. RNAcentral describes it as "bacterial SSU rRNA". It matches the Rfam family "Bacterial small subunit ribosomal RNA", at positions 336 to 658 of the family's 1533-position model. The record is from RNAcentral.
CUCCUACGGGAGGCAGCAGUGGGGGAUAUUGCACAAUGGGGGGAACCCUGAUGCAGCGACGCCGCGUGGGUGAAGAAGCGCCUCGGCGCGUAAAGCCCUGUCAGCAGGGAAGAAAAUGACGGUACCUGAAGAAUAAGCUCCGGCUAACUACGUGCCAGCAGCCGCGGUAAUACGUAGGGAGCAAGCGUUAUCCGGAUUUACUGGGUGUAAAGGGCGUGUAGGCGGGCUUGCAAGUCAGAAGUGAAAUCUGGGGGCUUAACCCCCAAACUGCUUUUGAAGCUGUGGGUCUUGAGUGAUGGAGAGGG